UUAAGCGAUGAUAGCCUAGGAGAUACACCUGUUCCCAUGCCGAACACAGCAGUUAAGCCCUAGAACGCCGGAAGUAGUUGGGGGCUGCCCCCUGUGAGAUAUGGAAGUCGCUUAGC
Streptococcus sp. DD11 is the source of this 116-nucleotide non-coding RNA. NCBI's taxonomy places the organism in Bacteria, Bacillati, Bacillota, Bacilli, Lactobacillales, Streptococcaceae. The record is from Rfam.